CAGCAGUCAGACAGUGUGAGAUAAGUUUCAUUGUCAAAAGGGAAACAGCCCAGACCUACAGCUAAGGUCCCAAAUGUAUGCUAAGUGGAAAACGAUGUGGAGUUGCGAAAACAACCAGGAUGUUGGCUUAGAAGCAGCCACUCAUUAAAAGAGUGCGUAAUAGCUCACUGGUCGAGUGACCCUGCGCCGAAAAUUCAACGGGGCUAAACAAUGUACCGAAGCUUGGGAUUCUAAAGUAAUUUAGAGUGGUAGGAGAGCGUCGAAUAAGGGGUGAAGUCAGAGCGGAAGCGCUGGUGGACUUUAUUCGAGUGAGAAUGCCGGAAUGAGUAGCGAGAAUUAUGUGAGAAUCAUAAUGGCCGAAAAUCUAAGGUUUCCUGAGGAAGGUUCGUCCGCUCAGGGUAAGCCGGGGGCUAAGGCGAGGCGGAGACGCGUAGCCGAUGCACAUACGGUUGAAAUUCCGUAGCCACCGAAAGAUUUAAGUACAGGGACGCUUUAGAAGUGAUGUAGCCGGGCGAUGGUUGACCCGGUCGUAAGGGAUCGAAAAUGAGUAGAGAAGUCAUCAUGGAAAGAGACAAGAAAAGCUGUAUGGAUAUCUUAGGUGCCCGUACCGCAAACCGACACAGGUAGAUAGGAAGAAGAUUCUAAGGCCAACGGGAGAAGGGUUGUUAAGGAACUCGGCAAGUUGACCCCGUAACUUCGGGAUAAGGGGUGCUCUGGAGACAGAGCCGCAGAGAAUAGGUCCAGGCGACUGUUUAGCAAAAACACAGGUCUCUGCUAAAUCGAAAGAUGACGUAUAGGGGCUGACACCUGCCCGGUGCCGGAAGGUUAAGAGGAGAUGUGAGAGCAUUGAAUUGAAGCCCCGGUAAACGGCGGCCGUAACUAUAACGGUCCUAAGGUAGCGAAAUUCCUUGUCAGGUAAGUUCUGACCCGCACGAAAGGCGUAAUGAUUUGGGCACUGUCUCAACAGCCCGCCCGGCGAAAUUGUAGUACUGGUGAAGAUGCCAGUUACCCGCAACUAGACGGAAAGACCCCAUGGAGCUUUACUGCAGCUUAAUACUGGAAUUCGGUAAAUCAUGUACAGGAUAGGUGGGAGACUGGGAAGCAUUGGCGUCAGCCAGUGUGGAGUCGCUGGUGGGAUACCACUCUUGAUUUGCUGGGUUUCUAACCUGCGGCCGUGAAUCCGGUCGGGGGACACUGUUAGGCGGGCAGUUUGACUGGGGCGGUCGCCUCCAAAAGAGUAACGGAGGCGCUCAAAGGU
This 1258-nucleotide ribosomal RNA is filed under the name human metagenome. RNAcentral describes it as "bacterial LSU rRNA". It matches the Rfam family "Bacterial large subunit ribosomal RNA", at positions 978 to 2317 of the family's 2925-position model. The record is from RNAcentral.